UACGGGGGGGGCAAGCGUUGUUCGGAAUUACUGGGCGUAAAGGGUUUGUAGGUGGCUUGUUAAGUCAGACGUGAAAUCCCUCAGCUUAACUGGGGAACUGCGUCUGAGACUGGUGAGCUUGAGUGCAGGAGAGGAACGCGGAAUUCCUGGUGUAGCGGUGAAAUGCGCAGAUAUCAGGAGGAACACCGGUGGCGAAGGCGGGUCUCUGGGCCGAUACUGACGCUGAGGAGCGAAAGCGUGGGGAGCGAACAGG
RNAcentral lists this ribosomal RNA (253 nucleotides) under uncultured bacterium. Its description in RNAcentral is "partial 16S ribosomal RNA". It matches the Rfam family "Bacterial small subunit ribosomal RNA", at positions 524 to 776 of the family's 1533-position model. The record is from RNAcentral.